RNAcentral lists this unclassified non-coding RNA (316 nucleotides) under fungal sp. Its description in RNAcentral is "partial internal transcribed spacer region". The stretch from base 1 to 46 matches the Rfam family "Eukaryotic small subunit ribosomal RNA", at positions 1786 to 1831 of the family's 1831-position model. Lineage: Eukaryota; Fungi. The record is from RNAcentral.
AAGUCGUAACAAGGUUUCCGUAGGUGAACCUGCGGAAGGAUCAUUAACACUCUUUUUUCAAUGAAAGAGCUCAUUUUUUGAUUCUUUGUUUUUUCUUUUGAGAAACUUGGAUUCAAAUAAUGGGUAUUCACCCCCUUAUAUUGACGAACGAAGAAAAACAUUGAUUUUGUUUCAAAAGCAAAACUCAUAUUUUUCUAUCUUUUUCUCUAUACCUUAUAUUUUUCAAAACCCCUUUUUUUACAAUAUGUCUUAGACUGAAUUGAAAAAUUAAGAUAAAUUAAAAAAACAACUCUUAACAACGGAUAUCUUGGUUCUC